AUUGAACGCUGGCGGCAUGCCUUACACAUGCAAGUCGAACGGUAACAGGUCUUCGGAUGCUGACGAGUGGCGAACGGGUGAGUAAUACAUCGGAACGUGCCCGAUCGUGGGGGAUAACGGAGCGAAAGCUUUGCUAAUACCGCAUACGAUCUACGGAUGAAAGCAGGGGACCGCAAGGCCUUGCGCGGACGGAGCGGCCGAUGGCAGAUUAGGUAGUUGGUGGGAUAAAAGCUUACCAAGCCGACGAUCUGUAGCUGGUCUGAGAGGACGACCAGCCACACUGGGACUGAGACACGGCCCAGACUCCUACGGGAGGCAGCAGUGGGGAAUUUUGGACAAUGGGCGAAAGCCUGAUCCAGCCAUGCCGCGUGCAGGAUGAAGGCCUUCGGGUUGUAAACUGCUUUUGUACGGAACGAAAAGACUCUUUCUAAUAAAGAGGGUUCAUGACGGUACCGUAAGAAUAAGCACCGGCUAACUACGUG
Molecule: ribosomal RNA, 482 nt
Filed under: uncultured bacterium
Lineage: Bacteria
Description: partial 16S ribosomal RNA
Rfam family: Bacterial small subunit ribosomal RNA
Source: RNAcentral